UACGUAGGGAGCGAGCGUUGUCCGGAUUUACUGGGCGUAAAGAGCGCGCAGGCGGUCGUUCAAGUCGCGUGUGAAAGCCCCCGGCUCAACUGGGGAGGGUCACGCGAUACUGAUCGACUCGAAGGCAGGAGAGGGUAGUGGAAUUCCCGGUGUAGUGGUGAAAUGCGUAGAUAUCGGGAGGAACACCAGUGGCGAAGGCGACUACCUGGCCUGUUCUUGACGCUGAGGCGCGAAAGCUAGGGGAGCAAACGGG
This 253-nucleotide ribosomal RNA is filed under the name uncultured bacterium. RNAcentral describes it as "partial 16S ribosomal RNA". It matches the Rfam family "Bacterial small subunit ribosomal RNA", at positions 524 to 776 of the family's 1533-position model. The record is from RNAcentral.